This is a long non-coding RNA of Nothobranchius furzeri (turquoise killifish), 774 nucleotides long. RefSeq lists it as uncharacterized. Lineage: Eukaryota; Metazoa; Chordata; Actinopteri; Cyprinodontiformes; Nothobranchiidae. The record is from RefSeq and is a predicted model, not a curated record.
UGUCUCAAUUCAGGGUCUGCAUCCUACGUCGGCCGGAUUCGUCGGCCGGUUACGUCACAGCGCCGCGACUAGGCCUGUCCCAAUUCGAAGACUCCUUCAAAUGCGGUCGACGAAUGCGGCCUUCUUUUCGCCUGAAUGAAGGAUGGGUCCGGUGUAUCCUUCAAUAGGUAGCAUUUCCCAAGAUGCCUUGCGGGCCGGCCGGCAGAAAAACUUAAAAACAAUGGCGGACAGUGAAGCGGGAGCUGUCGGAGAGGAUUGUGCAUAUAAAUGUCAGUAUAAACUUGAAAACUGUUAGGUUAAGGGCUUUUUGUGAUACAUGAACAUUAUUUUAGUUAGAAAUGUAACAGUAAAAGUGCUUGUAUUGCGGUCUCGGCUCGUAUGUUCGGCCGCGCUCGGUGUCGUACUUCUCCCGCUACGUUAUCCCCUGAUUUUAAUAGAAGUUUGUAUUUUAGGGACAAAAGAGAACACCAGGGAAUUUAUUAAACUUAGGGCGGAGAUGGACCACAUGAUCACCGGAGCAAAGUAUUCGGCGGCUGUGGCAUGGAGACUAUUCUGGAGAAAAUGGGCAUCCAGGGGAAGGUGCCAGCGAUGACCAGCUUCUGGAGCUGAUCAGGGAGGACAUGAGGCUGCAGAGGGAGGCAGAGCAGCAGAGGGCACAGGAGAGAAGGGAGAACUUUGACAGCUUUUUACUUUGCUAGAAAAAAAUGGUUAAUAAAGAUUAAACAUGUACAUAUAAAAGAAAUAUCUAAAUAAAAUCAGUUCUGCAUUAAACUC